This is a long non-coding RNA of Helianthus annuus (common sunflower), 1144 nucleotides long. RefSeq lists it as uncharacterized. NCBI's taxonomy places the organism in Eukaryota, Viridiplantae, Streptophyta, Magnoliopsida, Asterales, Asteraceae. The record is from RefSeq and is a predicted model, not a curated record. The transcript has 3 exons.
AAUAUUAUUAUAAUCAUCAUUUCUUCAUCUUCACAUUCAUAUAUAAAUUACCAGAUUUCCCCCAAUUUCUUCUUCUUCUUCGCAACAAUAGAAUUCCAAAACUGAAAUCGAUCAUGGUGGAAACCAGACAGAGUUCAUCGUCAUCCAAACCAGACGGAGGCGGCAUCAUUGACCACCGGAACGCCGGUGGAGCCGAUUGAGGCGGUGGUGAAGGAAUCGUUUGAUCCGUGUAAGAAGGAGCCGGAUGCUUCCACUACUACAACUCUUGUUACCUUCCAUCACCAUCACAAUCACCGAUUUGCAUAUUUUUAUCACCUGAGACGACAUCUGUUAUUGCAGAACACUUGUCUACUAAAGAAGUAGAAGUGAUUAAAGACAUGUUUACAUUGAUGGUGAUGGGAAAGUUACAUUUGAUGAACUAUUAAAGAAAGUCGGUUCACAAUUGUCUUAACCUGAGAUCUGACUGUUCAUGGAUGUGGUAAUGCUAAAAGAUUGUGAAUGCUAAAAUUCUACCAUUUGUUCAUUCAUUAGGCUGAUGUUGAUGACAAUGGCGUACAUCGUACCCGAGUGUGGAGAGUUUGUACUUUGUGGCAGUGACAAUUCAUUUGCAGAUGAGCAUCUACACAAAGCGUUUAUGUUUUUUUUUUUAUGAAGAUGGAAGCGGUUAUAUUGAGCUUGAUGAGCUAGAACAAGUGUUGUAUGAACCUGUCACGCAGACAUGCGUGCGAGUACUCAAUGAAAGCAUGAAACAAAGAAGUUGAUACAGUCAACAAGGAUGGUUAAAUCAGUUUCAAGGAAUUUUCAUCAUCGAGAACAGAUUGGAGGAAGGCAUCAUGACAAUAUUCGAGAGAGUGAUUCAAGAGCUUGAGUGUAAACUUGAUGAAAGAUGGAUCGAUGCGGCUCAAGCACGGGUUGACCGGUCAAAGUGUUGCAGGUUGAAUUAAUGAAGUACACAAUAUUCUUUUAUUUUGUAUGUCUUCAGAAUGAAGGGGAUUUGCAUGCCGGGGUUUAUUUUCAACUAGUUCGAAGUUGUAUAUAUUUUCUUAUUUUUAUACAAUUUUAACUUCUAUAUUUAUAACUUUUUGGCUUUUUUAUAGUUGCAUUUGAUAUCUUGGAUAUGAUUAGAAGUUUCGUUUUUUUUUCU